RNAcentral lists this ribosomal RNA (500 nucleotides) under uncultured Alphaproteobacteria bacterium. Its description in RNAcentral is "bacterial SSU rRNA". It matches the Rfam family "Bacterial small subunit ribosomal RNA", at positions 365 to 885 of the family's 1533-position model. Lineage: Bacteria; Pseudomonadati; Pseudomonadota; Alphaproteobacteria. The record is from RNAcentral.
UGGACAAUGGGGGCAACCCUGAUCCAGCCAUGCCGCGUGCAGGAUGAAGGCCUUCGGGUUGUAAACUGCUUUCACCGACGACGAUGAUGACGGUAGUCGGAGAAGAAGCCCCGGCUAACUUCGUGCCAGCAGCCGCGGUAAUACGAAGGGGGCGAGCGUUGUUCGGAUUUACUGGGCGUAAAGGGCGCGUAGGCGGUUAUAUAAGUAUGGGGUGAAAUCCCGAGGCUCAACCUCGGAACUGCCUUAUAAACUAUAUAACUAGAGGACGAGAGAGGUAAGUGGAAUUCUCAGUGUAGAGGUGAAAUUCGUAGAUAUUGAGAAGAACACCAGUGGCGAAGGCGGCUUACUGGCUCGUUUCUGACGCUGAGGCGCGAAAGCGUGGGGAGCAAACAGGAUUAGAUACCCUGGUAGUCCACGCCGUAAACGAUGAGUGCUAGACGUUGGAGUUUCUGACUUCAGUGUUGAAGCUAACGCAUGAAGCACUCCGCCUGGGGAGACGG